This 450-nucleotide ribosomal RNA is filed under the name uncultured bacterium. RNAcentral describes it as "partial 16S ribosomal RNA". It matches the Rfam family "Bacterial small subunit ribosomal RNA", at positions 354 to 796 of the family's 1533-position model. The record is from RNAcentral.
GUGGGGAAUAUUGGACAAUGGGCGCAAGCCUGAUCCAGCAAUGCCGCGUGCAGGAAGAAGGCCUUCGGGUUGUAAACUGCUUUUGUACGGAACGAAACGGUCCGGGUUAAUACCCUGGGCUAAUGACGGUACCGUAAGAAUAAGCACCGGCUAACUACGUGCCAGCAGCCGCGGUAAUACGUAGGGUGCAAGCGUUAAUCGGAAUUACUGGGCGUAAAGCGUGCGCAGGCGGUUUUGUAAGACAGGCGUGAAAUCCCCGGGCUCAACCUGGGAAUUGCGCUUGUGACUGCAAGGCUGGAGUGCGGCAGAGGGGGAUGGAAUUCCGCGUGUAGCAGUGAAAUGCGUAGAUAUGCGGAGGAACACCGAUGGCGAAGGCAAUCCCCUGGGCCUGCACUGACGCUCAUGCACGAAAGCGUGGGGAGCAAACAGGAUUAGAAACCCUUGUAGUCC